RNAcentral lists this ribosomal RNA (223 nucleotides) under Stomatanthes dictyophyllus. Its description in RNAcentral is "partial internal transcribed spacer 2". Lineage: Eukaryota; Viridiplantae; Streptophyta; Magnoliopsida; Asterales; Asteraceae. The record is from RNAcentral.
AUCACGUNGCUCACAUCAAACGUCCUUGUAUGGAUUGNGAUGUAUGUGGGCGUAGANUGGUCUCCUGUGCCCAUGGUGCGGUUGGCCCAAAAAUGAGCCCGCUUAAGAGUGACACACGACUGGUGGUGGUUGAUUCGACGGUCGUCUCGUGUCGUGUGUAGUGAUUCUUGAAAGGAAAGCUCUUAAAGUACCCCGAUGUCCGCCUUUUGGUGGCUNUUCGAUC